Molecule: ribosomal RNA, 254 nt
Filed under: uncultured bacterium
Lineage: Bacteria
Description: partial 16S ribosomal RNA
Rfam family: Bacterial small subunit ribosomal RNA
Source: RNAcentral
UACAGAGGGUGCAAGCGUUAAUCGGAAUUACUGGGCGUAAAGCGUGCGUAGACGGUUAUGUAAGUCAGAUGUGAAAGCCCCGGGCUUAACCUGGGAAUGGCAUUUGAGACUGCAUAGCUAGGGUGCGGAAGAGGGAAGCGGAAUUUCCGGUGUAGCGGUGAAAUGCGUAGAUAUUCGGAAGAACACCAGUGGCGAAGGCGACACACUGGCCCAUUACUGACGCUGAGGCGGCGAAAGCGUGGGGAGCAAACAGG